CCCACGUGACCGCCACGCCCCAACCACCUUCCCUUUAAGCCGUCCCUUUAACAGCUGGGACCCUCAUGUGUAUUUCCGGGUUUCCACUGUGCUGCUGCUCACUGUUGGUUGUGGCGUUGGUUGUUAAUAAAACAAUCUCAAAUCUCCAACUCAACUCAUCGCUGAACGAAUUCAUCUCUAAAACUCGAGGAUCUGCGGUUGGGCUUUGUUGAUGCCUGGUUUACCUUCUGAUGAGAACAAGUAACAUCCACUUCCUCAAACAAUCCGUUACUCGACGGACCGCAGUGAAGUUAGUUUCAAGUUGGAUAUUCGAUAUUCGAGCUCCGCG
Xiphophorus hellerii (green swordtail) is the source of this 328-nucleotide long non-coding RNA. RefSeq lists it as uncharacterized. Lineage: Eukaryota; Metazoa; Chordata; Actinopteri; Cyprinodontiformes; Poeciliidae. The transcript has 3 exons. The record is from RefSeq and is a predicted model, not a curated record.